This 397-nucleotide ribosomal RNA is filed under the name uncultured bacterium. RNAcentral's name for it is "partial 16S ribosomal RNA". It matches the Rfam family "Bacterial small subunit ribosomal RNA", at positions 523 to 918 of the family's 1533-position model. The record is from RNAcentral.
AUACGUAGGGGGCGAGCGUUGUCCGGAAUGAUUGGGCGUAAAGGGCGCGUAGGCGGCCCGGUAAGUCUGGAGUGAAAGUCCUGUUUUUAAGAUGGGAAUUGCUUUGGAUACUGUCGGGCUUGAGUGCAGGAGAGGUAAGUGGAAUUCCCAGUGUAGCGGUGAAAUGCGUAGAGAUUGGGAGGAACACCAGUGGCGAAGGCGACUUACUGGACUUUAACUGACGCUGAGGCGCGAAAGUGUGGGGAGCAAACAGGAUUAGAUACCCUGGUAGUCCACACUGUAAACGAUGAAUGCUAGGUGUAGGGGGUAUCGACCCCUUCUGUGCCGCAGUCAACACAAUAAGCAUUCCGCCUGGGGAGUACGGCCGCAAGGUUGAAACUCAAAUGAAUUGACGGGG